GCGACGUCACAUGCCCUCGAGCGAGAACGACUCGCACGAGAUCCCUUGGUCGCCGCCCUCGCACUCGCAUCCUUCGCCGCCGCCCUCGCACAUCAAGCCGCCGUCGAUCCCUGCGCUACUACGGGAGCCGCCGCCGAUCCCAUUGAGGAGCCGCCGCCGAUGACGGGAGACGCCGCCUAUCCCGUUGAGGAGCCGCCGCCGAUGACGGGAGACGCCGCACGCUGACCUACCCCCUCCCCAAUCCCUAGCAUCGCACCUCUUCCCGUCUGGCGCCUCCUACCUCGGCAGGGCGGUGGCCUCGAGUGCCUCUUCUUCCCCAAUGCGGCCUCAACCAACGACGCUGCACCCCGGUGAUGACUCCGCCCCACGAUUCCCAUCGGUCGGCGCCUCGCCAGCAGUGACCUCCCCCUCCAUGUAUCCUGUGAUCCGGUCGUGCGCCACCGCCUCUCCAGGCGCUUAGAUCCAGGCUUCCAGAAGGGGAUAGGGGUGGAGGCGGCAGCGGAGGGGACAGGGAUGUGGACCGGAGAAACUACAUGGUGGAGGCACAACAAAGCGUUCAAGCACGGCACCCCAUCGCAUGCAGCUGCAGCCAGCGGCAGGUGUUGGGCACUUUGAGGUAUGCAAACCUUCUCAGAGCAAGGGGAGCAAGAGUACCGGUACUGCAUUUCUUAUCUUCAUCACUCAAAAUUCCCAGAACUAAUCGUGAGCUCUUGCUUUGAUACAGAACUAAUCUUGAAGGUGAUAGCCCUGUUUCUUCCCUGUUUUAGAUCAACCGUUCUUCUUUCUUCCUUGGAGCUCCACUGUUUUGGAUGAACUGGACUAACCCUAGAAGGGAUGAAGGUCAUCCACGAGGUGUCUCAAGGUGAACCCCGUGGUACCCGACCAAGUGGCUGGAGGGAAUGGUGUAUGCUCACAAGUUUGUACAGACCAAUUUGUUUCACUCGGACAAGAAUCCCACGAACCUUAAUGUGGCCUUUAAGUUUCAGGUCCUUGGGGUUGGAUGCGGCAACUCGCGGCUUGAAGACAAUCUUUUGUGGUGGGGCGUCGCCGCCGCCGGCGGCUCCUGCAUAGACCGUAUCGCUGGGAACGAAGAGAUGCUCCCCUGAUUUGGAGCUGUAGAAAGGAAGUGGUUGCAGACACAAAGUGGGGACACACAACUCCCAGUCAUAAUAUUCUUUAUCUUGGCUCGUUGUUUGGGGAUGGACGCAUCAAUCUGAUGGCGCUCUCCUCCAUGCCAAACGGAUCCUUGGUUCGGAGGCGCGCGGCGCCGACGAUGACAACCUUUCUAUCGACGCAAGGGCAGCAGGAGCUCAUGACGCUGUUGAUGCCACCACCAUGCAUGGGGUUGAUGCAAGUGCGAUCACUAAUGGGGAGAACAUAAAACUUCAAUUGAGGGCACUGUGAUUCUCUAGCUACAUGUAUCAUGUCCAAAAGAGAUCCUUAUUUCACCUUUGUUUAUAGGUAUUCAACGUGAGGAAUUUUAUACUUUUGGAGUGGAGCUAUCAAAUAUAUAUUAUGAGUUUCUAAAACAUCUAUUAUAAGGAGUUGAACAGAGCUUCCUCUGCCCCGGCAGAUUCAGAGAAAACCAACCAGCAGAGAACAUGAACAAAUAUAGUGACGAGAAAGGGUGGAGCUGAGUACACCACACAUGGAUAUGAUGGUCUCCCCUAUGUUCUUUUUGGCAAUCCACUUAAUCACUGACUCAACUUUGUAUGGGGCGCUUCCGAUGCACAAAUGGUGGCGGUGAAGCAGCAGGCCCGAGAGAGCGUGCAGGGGAGGAAGGAGUUCCUGGUGGAGGUGCUGAUACUGGCGGUGCUCAGCCACCCUAACUUCGUCAGCCUGAUCGGCUUCUGCGCGCAGGGGACAAGCGGCUGCUGUUGUACGAGUACAUGCCCUUCGGCAGCCUGGAGAGUCAUCUCUUUGGAAACACGUUAAUUAUGUAAGAGACGAUAGGAGUAAUGACAUCAUAGCUCGGGCGUCUUGGGAGGAAAGUGGCGUCGGUGGUGCUGAGCCAGAACAAGUUCACUGGCUCUCCUUCUACCUGCUGGAGCAUAUGGACGUGUCACGGAAGCCCUUCGUCGGGCCGUUCCUGUUGGCGCUACUGUCUGUCCAGUACCUGAGCAUAGCCGGCAACAGGUUCACCCAGGCGCUAUCCGACAAGGGGUCCUGCUGGGACAACCUCCGGCUUGUCGACCUGAUGGGGAGCAUCCCCCCCACUAUCACCAUCCUAUCCAACCAGCCGCCAAGCAUCUACUACUGCUCCCACUGGAUAUGUAACCCAUCUGACUCCCUUCGCUUCCUGUUCUUCCCUUGAUAUUAUCAAUUUGUGUGCAAAUGCUCUUUUUCAGUAACUUAGUUACGGACUCUGAUUUUAUUCUUGUUUCAUGUAGGCACUUAUAUAUGAAUAGCGUGCAUACAUCUGCACAACUGCAUAACAGUCACAAAUGAUUGUUUUGUGAAUCUGCAGAGAAUCUAAUUAUCCAUGUACGGCAAUAGCCAGAUUAAUUUGUUUACCCAAAAUUAUCAAGGUGAAUUCCUUGUUCUUGUUUUCUCAAGUCGAUGAUGCAUGCCAAAUAUCCUACCACUUUACAUUCGCUCUCUUUAAAUCAUUCAUCUAUUUGAUCAGGAAGCAUCUUGCUAUGAUCAAUAAAGACGGAAAAACAGUGCACACAAUAGACGAGUGGCGGAGUACAAUGAGCUUCUUUUAUAGUCAUGGAUUAUUCAUGUGUUAAACAAGUUCUGCUCAUCGAUUAGUUAUUAUCAAACCUGUGGAUUAUGUUUUUACUAUAAUUUAUGAUUUAAUUUGUACCUUGCAAACUCGGCAAGUAAAAAUAUCACUUAUUUAAGAGCCGAGAGAGUGUUGUUAAAAUGUGUCUAAUUACCUUUUAAAUGUUUUACAAGAUUCAGCGAUAUAUGAGUAUACUUCCAUGUCUACUUGAUUUCUAUACAGAAUAUGGAACCAGAUGUAGCGAAAUGUUUGCAUACCAUGUCUGGAUUCAACAAGCUAUUUACUGAUGGCUGAUUUUUAAGGAUGUCUUAUGAAGUUGUGAUUCUGCGAGGAAAAGCUCGUGCGUGGAAUUAUUCACGGUUCCAUUAUAUAUAUUCACUUUGGAAGGCAAAAAUUAUAUGUUGGCUGGUUGCCCGAGAAAUCAAAAAGGCUAAAUCUUGAGUUGUAUGGAGCAUGGUCAUUUGCUUGAAGUUUCCAAUGGACUGUAUAUACCAUUGAAUGAGAGGAAUUAUUCCAUGAGUGUGGACAAAUUGAGCUGAUCGAUUGAUUGAGAAAAUAUUGUGUGGAUGUUCUCAGAUCUCCUUGCUCCACUACUCCUUGGAUUAUUACCUUUGUCCAUAUAUUUUGGUUUAUCUGAGCUGAAGGUAACCUUCUUAAACUAUCCAUAAAAAUAGUUCAAAUUGUUAAUUAAUUGUUUGCUUAAUUGUGUUGUCUAUCUAUUCUUUUGCACAUAGAAGAUAUAACCUGCAAAUCUGCACAUGCUUUUGCCAAUGUAUCCAUCCUGAUAUUUCUUAUAAUGUGGAAGUUAUCAGAGCCCUUUUUUAAGCAUCCACUUUGAGUUCACCGGUGGCAGGUAGCUUGUACAAUACUGAAUUUUCAAGGUAACAAAAUCGGUUAUGCGUUGCAGCAAAAUCGAAUGUGGUAGAGAAAAUAUUCAGGCUUCGUAGCGAAACAAUGCCUCUGUUAGGAUAGUACACCCAGAUCCCCGAUGCAUUUGGUUUAUUAUGAUGUAUUGAUACUGAAGUUUGUACCAUAUCUUGAAUUAUGAUUUCAGCAGUGAUAAUAUACUCUAGAUAAAAGGAUGGACACAUAAGCUUGGGACAUGAUUGUGGCCGCUGUACUUCAAGAAGGUGCGGAGCUACGGUGAGCAGCAGGUUGCAUCGUCAUGGUGGUCGCCCUCGACCACGAUGGUGUGCACACCUUGGCACCAGGAAUUGGCUUGGGACGCCGUGGAGGGAGAGAGAAGGGGGGCGGGCAAUGUUGUCGAAGGGGCCGG
Long non-coding RNA from Triticum aestivum (bread wheat), 4004 nucleotides. RefSeq lists it as uncharacterized. NCBI's taxonomy places the organism in Eukaryota, Viridiplantae, Streptophyta, Magnoliopsida, Poales, Poaceae. The transcript is spliced from 11 exons. The record is from RefSeq and is a predicted model, not a curated record.